This 343-nucleotide ribosomal RNA is filed under the name unidentified marine eubacterium. Its description in RNAcentral is "bacterial SSU rRNA". It matches the Rfam family "Bacterial small subunit ribosomal RNA", at positions 1016 to 1382 of the family's 1533-position model. The record is from RNAcentral.
UCCUCGGGACGCGAUGACAGUGCUGCUAGGCUGUCGUCAGCUAGCUCGUGUCGUGAGUUAGUUCGGUUAAGUCCGGCAACGAGCGCAACCCACAUCCCUAGUUGCCAGCAGUUCGGCUGGCACUCUAUGGAAACUGCCCGUGAUAAGCGGGAGGAAGGUGUGGAUGACGUCAAGUCCUCAUGGCUUACGGGUUGGGCUACACACGUGCUACAAUGGUAGUGACAAUGGGUUAAUCCCAAAAAGCUAUCUCAGUUCGGAUUGUCGUCUGCAACUCGACGGCAUGAAGUCGGAAUCGCUAGUAAUCGCGUAACAGCAUGACGCGGUGAAUACGUUCCCGGGCCUU